AUUGAACGCUGGCGGCAGGCCUAACACAUGCAAGUCGAGCGGAUGAAGGGAGCUUGCUCCUGGAUUCAGCGGCGGACGGGUGAGUAAUGCCUAGGAAUCUGCCUGGUAGUGGGGGAUAACGUCCGGAAACGGGCGCUAAUACCGCAUACGUCCUGAGGGAGAAAGUGGGGGAUCUUCGGACCUCACGCUAUCAGAUGAGCCUAGGUCGGAUUAGCUAGUUGGUGGGGUAAAGGCCUACCAAGGCGACGAUCCGUAACUGGUCUGAGAGGAUGAUCAGUCACACUGGAACUGAGACACGGUCCAGACUCCUACGGGAGGCAGCAGUGGGGAAUAUUGGACAAUGGGCGAAAGCCUGAUCCAGACAUGACGCGUGUGUGAAGAAGGUCUUCGGAUUGUAAAGCACUUUAAGUUGGGAGGAAGGGCAGUAAGUUAAUACCUUGCUGUUUUGACGUGACCAACAGAAUAAGCAACGGCUAACUUCGUG
This 484-nucleotide ribosomal RNA is filed under the name uncultured bacterium. RNAcentral describes it as "partial 16S ribosomal RNA". It matches the Rfam family "Bacterial small subunit ribosomal RNA", at positions 30 to 507 of the family's 1533-position model. The record is from RNAcentral.